This 257-nucleotide ribosomal RNA is filed under the name uncultured bacterium. Its description in RNAcentral is "partial 16S ribosomal RNA". It matches the Rfam family "Bacterial small subunit ribosomal RNA", at positions 57 to 305 of the family's 1533-position model. The record is from RNAcentral.
GCAAGUCGGACGGGAUCCAUCGGAGAGCUUGCUCGAAGAUGGUGAGAGUGGCGCACGGGUGCGUAACGCGUGAGCAACCUGCCUCUAUCAGGGGGAUAGCCUCUCGAAAGAGAGAUUAACACCGCAUAACAUCAACAGUUCGCAUGUUCGGUUGAUUAAAUAUUUAUAGGAUAGAGAUGGGCUCGCGUGACAUUAGCUAGUUGGUAGGGUAACGGCCUACCAAGGCGACGAUGUCUAGGGGCUCUGAGAGGAGAAUC